GACGAACGCUGGCGGCGUGCCUAAUACAUGCAAGUUGAGCGCUGAAGGUUGGUACUUGUACCGACUGGAUGAGCAGCGAACGGGUGAGUAACGCGUGGGGAAUCUGCCUUUGAGCGGGGGACAACAUUUGGAAACGAAUGCUAAUACCGCAUAAAAACUUUAAACACAAGUUUUAAGUUUGAAAGAUGCAAUUGCAUCACUCAAAGACGAUCCCGCGUUGUAUUAGCUAGUUGGUGAGGUAAAGGCUCACCAAGGCGAUGAUACAUAGCCGACCUGAGAGGGUGAUCGGCCACAUUGGGACUGAGACACGGCCCAAACUCCUACGGGAGGCAGCAGUAGGGAAUCUUCGGCAAUGGACGAAAGUCUGACCGAGCAACGCCGCGUGAGUGAAGAAGGGUUUCGGAUCGUAAAACUCUGUUGGUAGAGAAGAACGUUGGUGAGAGUGGAAAGCUCAUCAAGUGACGGUAACUACCCAGAAAGGGGCGGCUAACUACGUG
RNAcentral lists this ribosomal RNA (497 nucleotides) under uncultured bacterium. Its description in RNAcentral is "partial 16S ribosomal RNA". It matches the Rfam family "Bacterial small subunit ribosomal RNA", at positions 28 to 507 of the family's 1533-position model. The record is from RNAcentral.